Molecule: ribosomal RNA, 253 nt
Filed under: uncultured bacterium
Lineage: Bacteria
Description: partial 16S ribosomal RNA
Rfam family: Bacterial small subunit ribosomal RNA
Source: RNAcentral
UACGUAGGGUGCAAGCGUUGUCCGGAAUUAUUGGGCGUAAAGAGCUCGUAGGCGGCUUGUCGCGUCGGCUGUGAAAACCUGGGGCUCAACCCCGGGCCUGCAGCCGAUACGGGCAAGCUAGAAUUCGGUAGGGGAGACUGGAAUUCCUGGUGUAGCGGUGAAAUGCGUAGAUAUCGUAAGGAACACCGGUGGCGAAGGCGGGUCUCUGGGCCGAUAUUGACGCUGAGGAGCGAAAGCGUGGGGAGCGAACAGG